This 301-nucleotide ribosomal RNA is filed under the name uncultured bacterium. RNAcentral's name for it is "partial 16S ribosomal RNA". It matches the Rfam family "Bacterial small subunit ribosomal RNA", at positions 509 to 807 of the family's 1533-position model. The record is from RNAcentral.
CAGUAGCCGCGGUAAUACGAAAGGUCCAAGCGUUACUCGGAAUUACUGGGCGUAAAGCGCGCGUAGGCGGUUUUGUAUGUCGAUUGUGAAAGCCCCGGGCUCAACCUGGGAACUGCAGUCGAAACUGCAAGACUUGAAUGUUGGAGAGGUUGGGGGAAUACCUAGUGGAGAAGUGAAAUUCGUAGAGAUUAGGUGGAACACCAGAGGCGAAGGCGCCUGACUGGCCAAACAUUGACGCUAAGGCGCGAAAGCGUGGGUAGCAAACAGGAUUAGAUACCCGGGUAGUCCCUGUCUCUUAUAC